RNAcentral lists this unclassified non-coding RNA (494 nucleotides) under Hevea brasiliensis (rubber tree). The record is from RNAcentral. Lineage: Eukaryota; Viridiplantae; Streptophyta; Magnoliopsida; Malpighiales; Euphorbiaceae.
AUUAUCAGACAUGCUGAUGUCAAUUCCAGAAGCUUGUUUUCAUGGCUUUCCCCUGACUAGUUAUUUAUCAUAUCUUUAAAGAAAAUUCCAUGCUAAUGAUUUGUAUGUUGACAACUUGAUGUUAGUGUAUCCAUUUGACAUCCCUCAUCACUGGAAAAGUGAUAUAUCAGCGUGGAUAUUGUUAUCGCCCAAUGUUUAAACGUGUUCUUAUGUGUUAAAGGUGCAUGUUCCACAAAUCAGUUAAUAGAUUUAUUUGGAAAUAUAUUAUAGGUGAGGGUCAUAGCUGCCUCUAAGCUGAGGCAUACUUUGAUAAUUUUGAAGGCUCCAUAAGUUGCUACAUUGCUUUGGAAGUUGUGCUAUUUUUAUAUCAAAUGUAAAUUACCUCAGGUUUGGACAUCUAGAAUUAAUUUAUUCAGGAUCAAAGCAUUUUUGUGAGUAGAAAUUGUAUUCAUUUUCUGUCUCAUCCCCCCUUUUCCUAACCACACCAAGAGGCA